RNAcentral lists this unclassified non-coding RNA (208 nucleotides) under Hevea brasiliensis (rubber tree). Lineage: Eukaryota; Viridiplantae; Streptophyta; Magnoliopsida; Malpighiales; Euphorbiaceae. The record is from RNAcentral.
UUUUCCGAAUAUCUCACAACUCUAUCACAAAGGGUAUAAUAUUACAAUAUUUAAAAUGGUCCAUACCGCGGGGGCGUUGCCCCUGCACCCCGAAGGAGAUCAAUAGUGGGCUUCGAGCCUAGGCCUAUCGGCCCAUGCCCUCCACUACUACCACAAAAUCUCACUUUUUAUCCCAAUUGAAUCGCAACACGAAAAAACUUUCAGGUCG